RNAcentral lists this unclassified non-coding RNA (379 nucleotides) under uncultured Penicillium. RNAcentral describes it as "sequence contains ITS2". The stretch from base 1 to 153 matches the Rfam family "5.8S ribosomal RNA". The record is from RNAcentral. Lineage: Eukaryota; Fungi; Ascomycota; Eurotiomycetes; Eurotiales; Aspergillaceae.
AACUUUCAGCAAUGGAUCACUUGGUUCCGGCAUCGAUGAAGAACGCAGCGAAAUGCGAUACGUAAUGUGAAUUGCAAAUUCAGUGAAUCAUCGAGUCUUUGAACGCACAUUGCGCCCUCUGGUAUUCCGGAGGGCAUGCCUGUCCGAGCGUCAUUGCUGCCCUCAAGCACGGCUUGUGUGUUGGGCCCCGUCCUCCGCUCCCGGGGGACGGGCCCGAAAGGCAGCGGCGGCACCGCGUCCGGUCCUCGAGCGUAUGGGGCUUUGUCACCCGCUCUGUAGGCCCGGCCGGCGCUUGCCGAUCAACCAAAUUUUUAUCCAGGUUGACCUCGGAUCAGGUAGGGAUACCCGCUGAACUUAAGCAUAUCAAUAAGCGGAGGCU